GAUGAACGCUGGCGGCGUGCCUAAUACAUGCAAGUCGAGCGAACAGACGAGGAGCUUGCUCCUUUGACGUUAGCGGCGGACGGGUGAGUAACACGUGGGUAACCUACCUAUAAGACUGGGAUAACUUCGGGAAACCGGAGCUAAUACCGGAUAAUAUUUCGAACCGCAUGGUUCGAUAGUGAAAGAUGGCUUUGCUAUCACUUAUAGAUGGACCUGCGCCGUAUUAGCUAGUUGGUAAGGUAACGGCUUACCAAGGCAACGAUACGUAGCCGACCUGAGAGGGUGAUCGGCCACACUGGAACUGAGACACGGUCCAGACUCCUACGGGAGGCAGCAGUAGGGAAUCUUCCGCAAUGGGCGAAAGCCUGACGGAGCAACGCCGCGUGAGUGAUGAAGGUCUUCGGAUCGUAAAACUCUGUUAUUAGGGAAGAACAAACGUGUAAGUAACUGUGCACGUCUUGACGGUACCUAAUCAGAAAGCCACGGCCAACUACGUG
RNAcentral lists this ribosomal RNA (497 nucleotides) under uncultured bacterium. RNAcentral's name for it is "partial 16S ribosomal RNA". It matches the Rfam family "Bacterial small subunit ribosomal RNA", at positions 28 to 507 of the family's 1533-position model. The record is from RNAcentral.